GUGUUAUAAAAAAUGUAAGCAACCGUUUGUCAUGGAAAUACCUCGAGAAAUCUUGAUCUUGGACUUAGAAAACAACCAAACGAACACCACUUAACCUCGGCUCAACCCAAAACUGCCACACUUGAUUGCCACAAGUUUCACUCCACAAAGGAGACUAUGGUGGUGGUAUAUGCAAUCCACAAAGGAAGGAGAAAGAUGAAGGAAGACACCAAAAAUGCUCCAAGCUCUCUAACUCCAAAGAGAGCCAUCUGUCUCUCUCUUUUCUUCUCUCUUGCACACACACACACACACACAAAGACACGACUAGGAACAAAACAUAUAUAGCAAGACCUUAGGUCACUCAUAUGGAUUGGGCCAUAGUCUUUUCUAUAAAUGGGCUACCACUUAAUUACAAAUAAAUGGACCACACAAUCCAAAACCAUCCAACUUAAACUUGGGCCAUCCAAAAGCAUAGGUCAUUUUUUAGUCGAGCCAAAUCCAUGGCGUCGAUAAAUUAUCCGACAAAUGUUUUAAAUCAUCACCCGAAUUUAUUUGGUAUCAAAAAACCCAACACUGUUAAUGGUCAUCAGAAAUG
Molecule: long non-coding RNA, 574 nt
Filed under: Olea europaea subsp. europaea
Lineage: Eukaryota; Viridiplantae; Streptophyta; Magnoliopsida; Lamiales; Oleaceae
Source: RNAcentral